GGGGAAUAUUGGACAAUGGGCGAAAGCCUGAUCCAGCCAUGCCGCGUGUGUGAAGAAGGUCUUCGGAUUGUAAAGCACUUUAAGUUGGGAGGAAGGGUUGUAGAUUAAUACUCUGCAAUUUUGACGUUACCGACAGAAUAAGCACCGGCUAACUUCGUGCCAGCAGCCGCGGUAAUACGAAGGGUGCAAGCGUUAAUCGGAAUUACUGGGCGUAAAGCGCGCGUAGGUGGUUCGUUAAGUUGGAUGUGAAAGCCCCGGGCUCAACCUGGGAACUGCAUCCAAAACUGGCGAGCUAGAGUACGGUAGAGGGUGGUGGAAUUUCCUGUGUAGCGGUGAAAUGCGUAGAUAUAGGAAGGAACACCAAUGGCGUAGGCAGGUUACUGGACCAUUUCUGACGCUAAGGCACGAAAGCGUGGGGAGCGAACC
Molecule: ribosomal RNA, 426 nt
Filed under: uncultured Pseudomonadaceae bacterium
Lineage: Bacteria; Pseudomonadati; Pseudomonadota; Gammaproteobacteria; Pseudomonadales; Pseudomonadaceae
Description: bacterial SSU rRNA
Rfam family: Bacterial small subunit ribosomal RNA
Source: RNAcentral